GAGAGAGAAACCAUCCUUCAACCUGUGGCCAAGUGAGUAUUUCAGUACAUUCGUAGGUCUCUUAACUGGGAUGGCUCAAUGGAAACUGAACAAUGAUGAAUGAUCCAGAUUCAUUAGAGAGCGGGAGAGAAGAAAGGAAGCCUGUAUUCCAAACAGCUUGUCUGUUAGUAGCUUGUCGGAAGCAUCCCGUAUGAAACAGACGAAAGCACUGAACGUUCCUCACUUCUAUAUUCAAAUCACACUCUAUGGAACGUUAGGCAGGAGAAAUCCAAACAGCUCUUUCCAUACCAGGGAAGGGCAGGUCACCACCGAGUUCUAGGUGAAACCUCCCUUCUCCCGAGGUCAAGGUAAGCAACCUUUCUUUCUUUUUUUUCCUUUCCUUUCCUUUCCUUUCCUUUCCUUUCCUUUCCUUUCCUUUCCUUCCUUUCCUUUCCUUUCCUUCCUUUCCUUUCCUCCCUCCCUUCCUUUCUCUUUCUUCCUUCCUUUCCCUUUCUUUCUCUCUUUCUUUCUUUCUUUCCUUCCUUCCUUCCCUCCUUCCUUCUUUUUUCUCUUCCUUCUUUUCCAGAUUAAAGAAUUUUCCUAGCUAGGCCCUUGAAUAAACCUGCAAAGAUACAAAGCACUCCAUUCCUGUGGGAGGCUUUUAAUGAU
This is a long non-coding RNA of Camelus dromedarius (Arabian camel), 648 nucleotides long. RefSeq lists it as uncharacterized. The transcript has 3 exons. NCBI's taxonomy places the organism in Eukaryota, Metazoa, Chordata, Mammalia, Artiodactyla, Camelidae. The record is from RefSeq and is a predicted model, not a curated record.